ACAGCUGGUAAUAACCUUUUAACUAUUUUUAUAAAACAGCGCUAUUGACUGAGCAGUUUUGUGCUUAUUCUCUCUUUAUUUAGCAGCCAUUAUAAGGGAUGCAAAUGGAUUUGGAAGAUGGAUCCUAAACCAACAUAUUUGUUGGAUGCAUUUAGUGCACACAAUUAAACCAGCGAUCAGCCAAAUGCUGGUGAAAUAUGCAAGUGACAUUUCCUUCACUUACCAGCCAAAAACACAGUCAUCUAUUCAAUGCCUUGUACAAUGUGAACAUCCACUUGCCGUAUGUGUGUGUAACAUUUACAGUGAUUGAUGCACAGUAAUGAUAUUCUCUCAAUCAUAUCAAUAACCUGUUUAUUUACCGUGUGCUCUUAUUAAGGACCAAGACAGUGAAAUCAAUUAGGGACAAAUCUCUUUUCAGCAAGUCCAGACUUUCACUCUCUCAGUGGAUGCAGUUCAUUUAUAGGUGAUACAUUUCAAAGUGCUACAUUACUUAGGAAAAGCUUUUUGAAAACAAUGUAAGUAAACUCAUGAUGUGUGUGUGAUGUAUUCUAUAGAUUUGCACAGGGCCUUCGUCUCAGACAGGUUGAUAUGGUGGAGGACGAUAUUGCUGCAACCCUCUCCAAGAUGGGCACAAAACUAAGGAAGGUCUGCAGACGGGCUGUUGAGAGGACGAGACGACAAAAAGGACAAAAAGGACGGCUCAUCGGUGGACGGCGGCAAUUUGUUGUAAUUGAUGAGUCAUUUCCGCCAUAAGAGAAAGUAUGGGAGAGGAAGAAUGGGUGGCAUGGAGAAGACGGAAAUGGGUCUUCGGCGUGCUUGGUGUGCAGCAGCAGAGGAGCAAGAGAGCGAAGCCGGUGCUGCGCCUUGUAGAAAGAAGAGGACCUUGUGCCACUGAAUGCACAUCAUGUCAGGAUAGGAUCAAACAUCAUUAGUGAUGAAUGGCGUGCUUAUCGUUCCCUGCAUGCACUUGGCUACAAUCAUAUGACUGAAUCAUGCAAGGUGGCAUGUAGAUGCCCAAACAGGUGCCCACACACAGC
This is a long non-coding RNA of Gasterosteus aculeatus aculeatus (three-spined stickleback), 1037 nucleotides long. Lineage: Eukaryota; Metazoa; Chordata; Actinopteri; Perciformes; Gasterosteidae. The record is from Ensembl.